GGGGGGGUAGCAAUACUCAACCGGCGAACGGGUGCGUAACACGUGAGCGACCUACCUUUUUGUGGGGGAUAGCCGGCCCAACGGCCGGGUAAUACCGCAUACGCUUGGUUUGGGGCAUCUUGGACCAAGGAAACUUACGAGGCAGGAAGAGGGGCUCGCGGCCUAUCAGCUAGUUGGCGGGGUAAUGGCCCACCAAGGCAGUGACGGGUAGCUGGUCUGAGAGGAUGGCCAGCCACAUUGGGACUGAGAGACGGCCCAGACUCCUACGGGAGGCAGCAGUGGGGAAUCUUGCGCAAUGGCCGAAAGGCUGACGCAGCGACGCCGCGUGGGGGAGGAAGGGCUUCGGCUCGUAAACCCCUGUUGCCCGGGGCGAACAUCCUGUUUCGACGGGACUGACGGUACCGGGUGAGGAAGCACCGGCUAACUCCGUGCCAGCAGCCGCGGUAAUACGGAGGGUGCGAGCGUUGUCCGGAAUCACUGGGCGUAAAGGGCGCGUAGGUGGCCGAGCAAGGUUGCGGUGAAAGCCCGGGGCUCAACCCCGGGUCGGCCGUGGCAACUACUUGGCUUGAGCACUGUAGGGGCGGGUGGAAUUCCGGGUGUAGCGGUGGAAUGCGUAGAGAUCCGGAAGAACACCGGUGGCGAAGGCGGCCCGCUGGGCAGGAAGAGGGCGCAAGCUCUCGGCUGACACUGAGGCGCGACAGCGUGGGGAGCAAACAGGAUUAGAUACCCUGGUAGUCCACGCCGUANACGAUGGGCACUAGAUGCUUGG
Molecule: ribosomal RNA, 769 nt
Filed under: uncultured bacterium
Lineage: Bacteria
Description: bacterial SSU rRNA
Rfam family: Bacterial small subunit ribosomal RNA
Source: RNAcentral